RNAcentral lists this transfer RNA (82 nucleotides) under Saccoglossus kowalevskii. RNAcentral describes it as "tRNA-Ser". It matches the Rfam family "tRNA". Rfam says of the family: Transfer RNA (tRNA) molecules are approximately 80 nucleotides in length. Their secondary structure includes four short double-helical elements and three loops (D, anti-codon, and T loops). Lineage: Eukaryota; Metazoa; Hemichordata; Enteropneusta; Harrimaniidae. The record is from RNAcentral.
GUAGUCGUGGCCGGGUGGUUAAGCCGAUGUACUAGAAAUCCAUUGGGCUCUGCCCGCGCUGGUUCGAAUCCUGCCGACUACG